This 467-nucleotide ribosomal RNA is filed under the name uncultured bacterium. Its description in RNAcentral is "partial 16S ribosomal RNA". It matches the Rfam family "Bacterial small subunit ribosomal RNA", at positions 28 to 506 of the family's 1533-position model. The record is from RNAcentral.
GAUGAACGCUGGCGGCGUGCUUAACACAUGCAAGUCGAACGGAAAGGCCCUGCUUUUGCCGGGUGCUCGUGUGGGGAGGGGGUGUGAAACAUGUGAGUAUCCUGCCCUUGACUGUGUGAUAACUUCAGGAAACUGCGGCUAAUACCGGAGAGGAGAUCCUGCUGCUUGGUGGUGGUUGGAAAGUUUCGGCGGUUGGGGACGGACUCGCGGUUUAUCAGCUUGUUGGUGAGGUAGUGGCUUACCAAGGCUUUGACGGGUAGCCGGCCUGGGAGGGUGACCGGCCACAUUGGGCCUGAGAAAGGACCAGGACUCAUACGGGAGGAAAGAGUGGAAACUUGUUCAAGAUGUGCCGAAGGCUGAUGGAGGAUCUUCGGGUGCGGGAUGACGGUCUUCGGGUAGUAAAGCGCUUUCGCCUAUAACGUAGCGUGAGUGACGUUACUGGGUAAAGAGGCACCGGCUAACUACUU